AGUGGAGUUGCUGGGUCGUAUGAUAACUUUGUUUAAUUGAAGAACUGCCAGGAUGUUUUCCACAGCAGUUGUAGCAUUUUGCUUCCCAAGCAGC
RNAcentral lists this microRNA precursor (94 nucleotides) under Marmota monax (woodchuck). Lineage: Eukaryota; Metazoa; Chordata; Mammalia; Rodentia; Sciuridae. The record is from RNAcentral.